CUUCACUGGACUUCACUGGCUUCAUCUCAGAUUCUCCAUUCAUGUUCUCGGCUUCAUCUUAGGUUCUCCGUUCUGUGACUUCACUGUCUGAAAUUGUUGAGUGAAAUGGAAUCUGCCUCUGUGCCAUCUAAUG
Quercus lobata is the source of this 133-nucleotide long non-coding RNA. RefSeq lists it as uncharacterized. The transcript has 3 exons. The record is from RefSeq and is a predicted model, not a curated record. NCBI's taxonomy places the organism in Eukaryota, Viridiplantae, Streptophyta, Magnoliopsida, Fagales, Fagaceae.